Non-coding RNA from Taeniopygia guttata (zebra finch), 2157 nucleotides. The record is from RefSeq and is a predicted model, not a curated record. NCBI's taxonomy places the organism in Eukaryota, Metazoa, Chordata, Aves, Passeriformes, Estrildidae.
GACUGCUGAUAUCAUGGUCCGCUCUUCUGUACUGGCAACCUUGACUGCCUUCCAAAUCUGCCCUAGCAUGUCUUUCUCCCCUGCAGGUACAUGGCAUCAGGAGAAAAAAUGGGUGACGGGAGGGUGCUAUGUACAUCAGGCACAUGGGCUGGCCUAUUGAAAUCUGGUGAGGUGACAGCCCAUAUUCUUUAUUCUCGAUGCUGCUUGCCUGCACCACUCAGAGAGCCCCAUGGGAUUGCGGUUGAGAGGCACAAUGGUGUGGUCAUUAGCUCAGUGACCAUUAAAACUCUCUGUUGCUCUCAUCCCAUUCAAAAAUAAAGUUGAAAAUGGAUAGAUAGCUGAAAAGUAAGCAACAAGCACAAUUUUUGUGCAAACCAGUCAGAAAUGUGGAGAAAAACUAUACUUCACUGAGUUUUAAUCUCUCUCCUUUGUGGUAGGGCUUGCCACAGACUGGGCCACCCAAGCAAGGGCAGGUCUGCCUGUUCUUGCUGUGCUUCCCAAGCUGCUUUGCCUGCAGAUUUCAGAGAGCUGUAAAUCACUCCAGCCAGGCUUGCAGCUGGACAUUUUCUUUCUCCUUAGGAUCUUUUACUAAAACUACGGGAAGUGAUCAAGUGAGUUAUAGCUCGAAACCAGCCUGGUAGAGAAGGGAAUUUUUAGAGGAGUUUUCCUGCCUCAUCUUCUCAGAAAUAUCUUCGAGUGAAAAAGCCCUAAGCACAUCAUAGGAUCAUCCCUACCUUCUUGAACCUUCAAAAUACAUAACCUCAACCAGUGCCAACUGAGCAGAAGUUUAGUUCACGUUCAGUGUGAAGUAAAACGUCUAAAAGCCAAGUUCAUGCUGCUUUGAUGAAUGAGCCCAAUAUCCAGGGUUCUCGGUUGGAGGAAGAUGGAUGUGUGUCGAUCUGAGCUUUUUCUUGGCUCUUUCCUUGCACUGACCCCCUUCAGUGCUGAGGGCAGCACCAAGCUCUCACCUGGCCCCUCCCUGUGCACAGGCUGUUGUCAUUUUUAAGGGCAGGAUCUCUUAAAGAUCCCUUGAAGAGUUUUGGUUUAUUAUGAGAGGGAAAGAGUAAAAAAAAUCAGUGAUCCAUCUCUUUGGACCAGGGACUUACCUGAGCUUCCUUGGAGACUCUAUCUGUUGUGCUAUUGGCACUUGGCCUGGCUGACCCUGGGCUGUCCUGUCCAGCGGUCUCUCGUUAAGGAGCAGGAUGGGAUGUGGUUCUAGUCUAAGAAGAUUUGUGUUUCUGCCGGGUCCAUUAAUUCCAGAGUCCAUUUUCAGGAUGGCAAAUCAGUAGCACUGGGGUCAAGAAGGAAUCUUCCCCCAGGGCAGACUGGCACUGGUUCCUAGGGAGUUUUGCUUUCCUCUGCAGCACUGAGCAUGACCACUGUUCAGGGCUCCUUCAGUCCCUUUUGGCUGGGUUGCUGCCUGCUGCUCAUGCCCCAUGAAGAUGGUCUGUCAUACCCUGCAGCUGUGGGCAAGAAGCUUUCCAGACUCCCAGGGUGGGUCCCAAGGGUGGCCUGGGGGUUGCUUCUUGUCCUCCUGUAGCACUGGGAACAGCCCCUGUCAGGGCUCCUCUGGGCUCCUGUGACUCCAUUCUUGCCUGCUGCCCUCACACCUCCAAGGCACCACUUGUGCCCUGGCUCUCUCUGGCUCUCUUGCCCAUUGCAAACCUGGAGUGGGGCUGAGCUCUGCUCUUCCCUUGGCUCCAUUUCCCAUGGGAUUCUUGCAUCCAUCCAGAGCUGUCAUUCUUCAGUUCUCCUGCAUGCAACACAAGCACGGGCCAUGCAUCCCUGGCCAGGAAGCACAGCAACAAGGGAAAUCUUGGAUGGCAAAAAUUGUGCUUGUCAUCAAUAUGCGUUAUAAUUUGUAAAAUAUCCCACAGUAUCACAUAUGCUUUCUUUUUUGUGUGAGGUUGGUACAGUCAGUCUUUGUGUUCUCAUGCCUCAGGAAACAAGAGCUGCUGGGCCUGUAUUCCUGCUACUAUAUUCUGUAGCUCUGUCACUUUCCUUUUCCAGACUACAAAGGAUGGGUUGUAAAGCUAAACUGAAGAACACAUCAGCCUGAUCCUGGCUACACAUGCACAUUGUGUUAAUGGUUGUGAGCAUCAAUUCCAAAACAGAUGAAGAAAAAUAAAAAUUAAAAUAAUAUCCUGUUUCCAGUUA